AUAUAUAUAUACACAUUUUGGUUUGUGGGAGAGACAUCGCUCUGAAUGAAUAGUCCGGAAGUCGUAUGCAGUUUCUAUUAGAUGCACUUAGAUGCAUCAAAAGUAGGCAGACUAGGAUUGAUAUUUUGUUUCACUGUUUGGGGAUAGUUCAAUAAAAAUAAAAAAGCUUCUAAAGAGCAGUUCCUCAAGAGGACACCGACGAUGCUGCCAAAUGGGCUGUUGUAACAUUUAUCAGUUGAUUAAGUGUGCAUGGAGGAAUUAAAAGGGACACAACGGCAAGACUCAUAACCCUUGCUUUUUUAACUAGAAAUAAAAGUGUUGGUUCAUUCUUUCUGGGAUACAGGCUACAUGUGUAGUACACAACUAUUUGUGCUGGCAUUAAAGAUUGGCUUUUUUGUGAAUAUAAACUCCCUCAUUAGAGAGAGAGAGCGGCGCAUCCUCUACUCUAAGAGAGACAAACCGAGUGGCGUAUGUUAUAUUAAACUACAAUACAGCUUCAUUACAACCACGUCAAAUCCUGCCACUACAUGAGGCAUAUAAAGCAAAACUAAUGCCACUGAAUGAUUCAGUCACUAACUGUGUUUCCAUUCAUCUGUGUGCAAAACCUGCACGUAUCGUGUCAAUGGAAAAUUUGAUAAAACUUGCUCAAGAAGUGUGUUUUUUCUUUGUCGAAAAAGAUUUCAUGAGAAAUGUGGAUUGUGGAAACUGAUCAGUCGUUCUCAUUCUGGGCUUCUUCUCAAAGCUCAUCUUCGGCCCACUCGGCCAAAAAAUUGGAUUUAUGGAAGUCUUCUCUUCAUUUUUCUAUCAUUCUAUGGAUGGAAAUAUAUCUGGUUCGUGACCUCUACCUCUCCACACCAAUGCAAAUAACUGAAUCCAAGUUUAUUCUCUCCAAACAAGUUGAUGGAAACACAAUUUUUUGUUAAUUUUUUUAACUGUUGUGUCAUUUCACAUGAUACACAAUGGUAACACGGCAAAUUACCAAUAGCAAACCAUAAGAAUAUGGUGCAGCAGGCAGAUUAGUUAGCAUUACAAUGAGUAAUGAUUUAAUGGAUGUUAUAAUGCAGUGUGACCAGCUCUGUGGCUGAGGACGUAUUCUUUAAGAGAAAUCCUCGCUGGCUCCCUAAACAAAGUGUGAUAGGAAGACACGUUGAGGGGGGACCUGUAGCUAAUGUUCGCCAAACACUGCCGCUCGGUACCGGCAGGAGCCACAAUGAGAACGCAGUCGCGAUAAUGAGAAAAGUGAUACAAAGGCUUCAUAUAAGGGGAAAAAAAUAUGACAUAUGACAACAUAACUAUGAUUUAACAUUCAGGAUGAUUGAGCUGCUGAAACAGAAACCCUCUGACUAAAUAUUGAAGUUAUUUGAUAAAAGCUAAGAAGGAGACACCUUACAGAAGCCUUUAGCGGAUCUCUGACGGUAAGCGAGAGGCCAGUUGUCACCUUAAGGGCUGAUUGGGAGGCCUACAGCGAUCCGGCGCCAUGCACAAUGGUGUAAGGUAGACGGCGCUGAUCGUAUUAGAAGCGAACGUACCAACGCAACACAGCAUCCUGCUCAUUAGGCCGUUUCCUCUGUGCUUCUCCGUGUCUGUGUGGAGAGGCGUGCGUGUGUAUUGGCGUCAUGCCCAGCUGAAUUCUGUUUGUUUCACCCUGCCGCUCCAAGCCCCGAAACAUCAGGGUGAUUACCGUCAGCGCUUGUGUGUCAUGGCCCGUCACACUUUUGACAGUUACGAAGAGUGGAAGGAAGUUGUGCCGUGUGUGUGUGUGUGAGUCCUCCCAGCGCCUGUGCUGUUUGCUGAAAAACUCCUUGGAAUAAUUAUCCUGGUAUUCAUCUGCUUUCGUGAGUUUUGGUGUAGGAUAGCGCGCUUCAUGCGGCGGGCCUUCAGGUACCUCAGUGCUGUCAGUUCUGGACAUGUCAGGUGUUGCAUGUGAGUUUUUCCGUUUGCAUGAUGUCUCUGGUGAGGUUGUGACAGGAGAUAUAAGUAUGUUAUCUACAAUAAGUGUGUUUUAUGUAACUGUAGUUAUAAAGUAUAUCAACCUACGGUAGAAAUCGUUGAAUCGCUCCCCCCGGGACAUGAACAGUCGUGUCCUGAGUCCAGAGUGAGCUACUUUGAUCCAACCUUGUAGUCUCUCUUACAGCAUCCGUUGCUCUGUCUUAUAAUGGCGGUAGGGUCCUUCCUAAAGCCACCCAGUUGUAUUUUUUUAGUUCAAGAUAUUAUCUUUUUUUUUUAGUGUGUGAGUAAAGCUAAGGUAAGAAAUACAAUCUUAGUAUCAGGGGAUCGUGUUUUAAAAACUAUAUUCCAUGCCUGCUAACAGAUGCCCAUAAAUCCUACACAAUGCUCCUUUAAUUAUUACAUUACCAUGAUGAGGAAUCACAUGCUGAGUGGUAACAGCAUAAUGGGCCUGUUAUAGUCCUACAACCGUGUUGCUGAUGAGCCAGGUGAUAAAGCAGCUGCUGCCCAUGUGUCUGACUCUGUGUUGCAACGUGACCACAGAUAAGGAGCGGAAUCGAAAGAACGCUCAGACAUUUUGCGAAACAUGCUUGUUUUUCUUUAGCGAGGCAGAUGAGGAGAUAAGUGACUGUCGACAACAGUAUUAGCAUUGUGGAGCUAGCUUCGUUUAGCAUAGAGGACUGCAUUGGAGAGGAACUGUGUGGGCAUUACUCUGGUUUGGGCAAAUAUUCUUUAAGUUGCGAGUGGUUUCGCUAGGAAUCAGGAUCAGGAAUCAGGAAACAUUUAUUGCCAAAAUGUGUCAAACAUACAAGGAAUUUGUCUUGGCGGUUGGUGCGCGACAGUAGACACAAAACAGACAAUAGACAACAAGACAGCAGUGCACAAGUAAUAAAAUAAAAUAAAAU
Gasterosteus aculeatus aculeatus (three-spined stickleback) is the source of this 2852-nucleotide long non-coding RNA. The record is from Ensembl. Lineage: Eukaryota; Metazoa; Chordata; Actinopteri; Perciformes; Gasterosteidae.